Molecule: ribosomal RNA, 764 nt
Filed under: Glomeromycotina sp.
Lineage: Eukaryota; Fungi; Glomeromycota
Description: SSU rRNA
Rfam family: Eukaryotic small subunit ribosomal RNA
Source: RNAcentral
AUCAACUUUCGAUGGUAGGAUAGAGGCCUACCAUGGUGGUAACGGGUAACGGGGUGUUAGGGCACGACACCGGAGAGGGAGCCUGAGAAACGGCUACCACAUCCAAGGAUGGCAGCAGGCGCGCAAAUUACCCAAUCCCGACACGGGGAGGUAGUGACAAUAAAUAACAAUACGGGGUUCUAUAGGAUUUCGUAAUUGGAAUGAGUACAAUUUAAAUCUCUUAACGAUCAACAAUUGGAGGGCAAGUCUGGUGCCAGCAGCCGCGGUAAUUCCAGCUCCAAUAGCGUAUAUUAAAGUUGUUGCAGUUAAAAAGCUCGUAGUUGAAUUUUAGACCUGGCCGGGCGGUCCGUCUUUGGCGAGUACUGUCUGCUGUCGGGUCUUCCUUCUGGUGAACCAGUAUGUCCUUUAUUGGGUGUGUUGGGGAGCCAGGACCAUUACCUUGAAAAAAUUAGAGUGUUUAAAGCGGGCUAUUGCUUGAAUAGAUUAGCAUGGAAUAAUGAAAUAGGACGUUUGAACCUAUUUUGUUGGUUUCUAGGAUCGACGUAAUGAUUAAUAGGGAUAGUUGGGGGCAUUAGUAUUCAAUUGUCAGAGGUGAAAUUCUUGGAUUUAUUGAAGACUAACUACUGCGAAAGCAUUUGCCAAGGAUGUUUUCAUUAAUCAAGAACGAAAGUUAGGGGAUCGAAGACGAUCAGAUACCGUCGUAGUCUUAACCAUAAACUAUGCCGACUAGGGAUCGGAUGAUGUUAAUUUUUUAAUGACUCAUU